GGGAACGUGCCUUUAGGUUCGGAAUAGCUCCUGGAAACGGGUGGUAAUGCCGAAUGUGCCCUUCGGGGGAAAGAUUUAUCGCCUUUAGAGCGGCCCGCGUCUGAUUAGCUAGUUGGUGAGGUAAUGGCUCACCAAGGCGACGAUCAGUAGCUGGUCUGAGAGGAUGAUCAGCCACACUGGGACUGAGACACGGCCCAGACUCCUACGGGAGGCAGCAGUGGGGAAUAUUGGACAAUGGGCGCAAGCCUGAUCCAGCCAUGCCGCGUGAGUGAUGAAGGCCUUAGGGUUGUAAAGCUCUUUCAGUGGGGAAGAUAAUGACGGUACCCACAGAAGAAGCCCCGGCUAACUUCGUGCCAGCAGCCGCGGUAAUACGAAGGGGGCUAGCGUUGUUCGGAUUUACUGGGCGUAAAGCGCACGUAGGCGGUUUGUUAAGUCAGGGGUGAAAUCCCACAGCUCAACUGUGGAACUGCCUUUGAUACUGGCAAGCUAGAGUCCGGAAGAGGUAAGUGGAACUCCUAGU
RNAcentral lists this ribosomal RNA (520 nucleotides) under uncultured bacterium. RNAcentral's name for it is "bacterial SSU rRNA". It matches the Rfam family "Bacterial small subunit ribosomal RNA", at positions 120 to 674 of the family's 1533-position model. The record is from RNAcentral.